GCCGGGCGUGAUGGCUCACGCCUGUAAUCCCAGCACUUUGGGAGGCCGAGGUGGGAGGAUCACUUGAGGCCAGGAGUUCAAGACCAGCCUGGCCAACAUGGUGAAACCCCGUCUCUA
Unclassified non-coding RNA from Pongo abelii (Sumatran orangutan), 117 nucleotides. It matches the Rfam family "Metazoan signal recognition particle RNA". From Rfam's summary of the family: The signal recognition particle (SRP) is a universally conserved ribonucleoprotein. It is involved in the co-translational targeting of proteins to membranes. The eukaryotic SRP consists of a 300-nucleotide 7S RNA and six proteins: SRPs 72, 68, 54, 19, 14, and 9. Lineage: Eukaryota; Metazoa; Chordata; Mammalia; Primates; Hominidae. The record is from Ensembl.